This is a long non-coding RNA of Colius striatus (speckled mousebird), 1435 nucleotides long. RefSeq lists it as uncharacterized. The transcript is spliced from 4 exons. Lineage: Eukaryota; Metazoa; Chordata; Aves; Coliiformes; Coliidae. The record is from RefSeq and is a predicted model, not a curated record.
GCUCAGUGUGUUUAUAUUGGAUAUUAGGAAAAAUGCCUUUCCCAAAGGGCUGUUGAGCCCUGUGCCAGGCUGCCCAGGGAGCUGGGGCAGUGCCCAGCCCUGGAGGGAUCCCAGAGCCGUGGAGCUGAGGUGCUGAGGGACGAUGUUUAAUGGUGGCUGUGGCAGUGCUGGGGGAACAGUUGGACUCAGUGAUCUUAAAUGUCUUUUCCAACCCAAACAAUUCUGUGAUUCCAUGAGGAGUUCAUUCCCAGAGAGCAGCAAAAGGACAGAUGUCUCUAUGACAUGUGGCUGCAUCUGUUUAGGGACCCUGCUCUUCUGGAUGUGAAUAUUUCCACCUAGGUGCUUGGCAUCUCCUCCUGUGGGGUGGAUGUGGUGCUUUCAGGUGCUGCCUGAUGAUUGUGUGUGCCUGUUGAAAGCCCUUUCCCAGGCCAUGGCAGCCUGCAGCCUGCUGUGGCGCCUCAGCCCUGUGUCAGGGGCUUUCUCUAUCUAAAGGCAGUUGGCUGGAUUCUAAUUGUCACCUUUGCUCUCCAGAAGCCUUUAGCAGACAGUUGAUGUCUCACACUGCUUUUCUUGGCUUUGUGUUGAGAUAGAGACAAGUACAGAGUUGGCUGAGAGGCCACCCAAAACCCGGAGGCAGCAGACUACAGAACUAAAGGCAGAUCUGCCCGAGCCUCUGCCUGGAUGCUGCAGCCCUGAGGAGUUUAACCCUUGAGGUUCUGCUGGUGGCAUGACAGGGUUGGUUCUGGUGGGUUUGUCUCUCACUUCUGCAGGAGGAUGAGCCUGCUGAUCCGUUUAAUGAUGAUAAAAAGGAAAGGCACUAUGUGGAGCCUCUGUAAUGUGAUCUGUAUGUGCUUCUCCUUUCAGUUAGGUUGUCCCUUAGAGUGGGCUGCCCAGCUCACAGCCAGUGAAUGCUUGGUUGGGUUCUGCUGCUGCCAGGGGGCUUACACUGAUCUCAUUCCCUUCUCUGUACUGGAGGCCUGUGGUAACUGGGGAGGAAAGGUGCCAAUCUCUUCUGGUUUAGGGUGGCAAGAGGUGCAGAAAGGACCGUAUUGAGGACCUGGCUGACCUGGGGUACGGGUACGACGAAUCCGACUCCUUCAUCGAUAACUCUGAAGCAUACGACGAGCUGGUUCCGGCGUCUCUCACCACGAAGCUCGGAGGGUUUUACAUCAACUGUGGAGCGCUGGAGUUCCGGCAGGAGUCUGACUCUGAAGAUGCCUCUGUUAAAGAGAGGAAGAAGAAGUGUCCCAAGAAUUGGAAGCUGGAAGAUGGAGGUGAAAAAAUGAGGAAGAAGGAAGAUGACUCUUCCAACAAGGAAAAGAAAUCCAGAAAGUCCAAGUUUCCUAAAGCUGGGAAGGACACUCUGCUGAAGCGUUGCCUGUGCUGGGCUUGCUCUGGGCUGGGCAAUGGAAGGAACUUGUGCAGAAGCUGAAGG